GGUGGAGGUAUGUAGGGAAGGGAGAGGGCAGGAUAAAGCUGACCGUGAGAAAGGGAGACAGAUGAGUUGGGAACUAGACAGGUCUGGAAAAGAAGCACAACAGAAGCAGGAAAAGUGUGGGAGACAGAAAACUAGACUAUCAGCGAAAUCUAAGAUCCAAGAAUUGCAUUUGGCCAGUGAGAGAGGACAGAGGUAGUGCGAGGAGGAAGGGAGAAGAAAGCAAAGGAAGGAAUAGAGGAGGGUGGACAGAAAUUAGGUCAGGUAGGAAGCUCCAGAAAUCCUAGGGAUGCACUUCUGUGGCAGAAGAAUAGAAGUCUAGUGCUCAGUAUUGUAAUGAAAACAAAGGUCUUUUGCCCUCAGAUUCAUGAUCAAUAAAAUGAAAAGCUUUUCAGGUCCUGUGGAGCCUCCAGGUUUGUGGGAGGUAUAUGGUGUGUGUUAUUAAACAGCUACCUACCCCACAGUGACUGAGGGCUGAGCCCUUAUGUAGGGCUUUCCUACACAAGCUGGGGUUGGGAGGUACAGGCCCCUCUUCAACCAAUCUCUGGAAUGCAUUCAGAACCAUGGAGACCUCAGGACCCCACUCUCGGCAGAACACGCAACACCCAGCUCUUUUUCUCUGAAGACAGAUGGGGAACGUGAAGGCUAUCUUCUGGCUGGAUGAAGCAUCUAGGUGAUAGAAAAGAAAUCCAGAGACAGGGUGAGGAAGGGAGGCAGGAGUUGCUUUUUAUUGACUUGGAAGUGGGCUCUUCAGUGAAGCCCCUUUGGGUUUAAGAGCAUUUUCCUGCUUCCUUUGUUCUUCCUGCAACUUCUGCUGCCUGAGCUGCCAUGCUUGUAAUCCAGCGUCCAUUUCCUGUGACAGCAGUACAACUCGUCUCUGAAACAGACAGGAAAACAGUGUGGAUAACAUCUGGGACUUCAGCGCUAUACUAUAUAUCCUUCCACUUACAAAUUCAGAGGUUUCAUCUGGAAAAUGACGCUGCUGACUCCCCAGUGGGAGCGAGUUCUGGCUUGGGAAGCAGAGGGAGACAGCAAAAUGUGCAGCAGGAUGUCUACUACUGGUUCCUGUCCUGGGAGUGCCCCACUCUCUUCCUCCCUUCUCACAGUGCUAUUAAAACCUUUGGCUGGGGCCAGGCAUGGUGGCCCACACCUGUAAUCCCAGCACUUUGGGAGGCUGAGGCAGGCGGAUCACCUGAGGUGGGGAGUUCAAGACCAGUCUGACCAACAUAGAAAAACCCUGUCUCUACUAAAAAUACAAAGUUAGCUGGGUGUGGUGGCACACGUGUGUAAUCCCAGCUACUCAGGAGGCUGAGGCUGGAGAAUCGCUUGAACCCGGGAGUAGGUUGAAGUGAGCUGAGAUAGCGCCAUUGCACUCCAGCCUGGGCAUCAAGAGCGAAACUCCGUCUCACAAAAAACAAAAACAAAAACAAAAAAAACCUUUGGCUGUUAUUAAUAAAACCUCUGUAUGAGGGGUACAUGUUUGCUUAGGUGCAACACAGCUCAAGACAAAUUAUGAUUUAAAUGUUCUCCUUCCAGGUAGCCCUGGCUGUUGCUCUAACCACUCACUGCAAACGUCUCCCUUUCAGCUUUUCUUCGAAGCUGGCCUUUCAUUGGGGGAGCAGGGCGGCCAUCUACAAGUAGAAGUGAGAGAAAAGUCAAGUGUUAGAGAUGGACUGCAUCACCUUGUGCAAAUACUGUGAUAGGAAUAAGGGAAGAACCAAUCUCUAGCUCCUCUCUUCCAUUUCAUAUACAUUGUAGCUUAAUUAUCCUAAAAUAUGUCCAUCAUCUUCAAGGGUGAGGUACGAUAACCCAGAAUAAGCUCCUAGACAUAUUACUACUCUAUUUCAUUUUAUUUCAUUUAUUUAUUAUUUUUUGAGACAGUCUCGCUCUGUUGCCAGGUAGGAGUGCAGUGGUGCAAUCUCAGCUCACUGCAACCUCUGCCUCCCGGGUUCAAGAGAUUAUCCUGCCUCAGACUCCCGAGUAGCUGGGACUACAAACACGUGCCACCAUCCCUGGCUAAUUUUUGUAUUUUUAGUAGAGACGGGAUUUCACCAAGUUGGCCAGGAUAGUCUCGAUCUCUUGACCUCGUGAUCCACCUGCCUCGGCCUCCCAAAGUGCUGGGAUUACAAGCAUGAGCCACCGUGCUCGGCCUUUUUUAUUUUUUAUUUUGAGACAGACUUUUGCUCUUGUUGCCCAGGCUGGAGUGCAAUGGCAUGAUCUCAGCUCACCGCAACUUCCGCCUCCCAGGUUCAAGCAAUUCUCCUGCCUCAGCCUCCCGAGUAACUGGGAUUACAGGUGCGCACCACCACACCCGGCUAAUUUACUACUCUAUUUCACUGAACUCUCACUAGCCUUGUAUUUGAGGUCCUCUGCAAUGCUGAAUCUACUGUUUUGUCUUCAGAAACUCUUGGCCAGGCGUGGUGGCUCACACCUGUGAUCCCAGCACUUUGGGAGGCUGAGGCAGGCGGAUCACGAGGUCAGGAGAUUGAGACCAUCCUGGCUAACACGGUGAAACCCUGUCUCUACUAAAAAUACAAAAAAUUAGCCGGGCGUGGUGGUGGGCGCCUGUAGUCUCAACUACUAGGGAGGCUGAGGCAUGAGAAUGGCCUGAACCCGGGAGGCUGAGCUUGCAGUGAGCCAAGAUCGCACCACUGCACUCCAGCCUGGGCGACAGAGCCUGACUCCAUCUCAAAAAAAACAAAAAACAAAAAAAACCAGAAACUCUUAAGCAAUGUGAUCACUGUUGUUCUAUGUACCUUUGCUAAAUUCCAUCCCACUCCACAAUGAAAUGCCCUCUUUUCCUUUUCUUCCAGCCAAAUCUUCAUCCUUAGGUCCACUCAAACCCUAACUUUCCCAGAAACGCUCAUCUCUUCAAGUCCAUCAGCCUUCUCUUCUGAAAGAAGUACUGAAUAUUUAAUAUUCACCUAUUUGCCUUGGGACAUUUACUGUACUCUUCUGUUUUAUUUUUUUAAGUGUUAUUUAGCUACCUCAGGUCCUUUUGGAAAGGCGCAGAGUAUUGAAAUAUUAUUUAUUAUUAUUUUUGAGACAAGGUCUCGCUCCG
RNAcentral lists this long non-coding RNA (3058 nucleotides) under Homo sapiens (human). Its description in RNAcentral is "HSALNT0208146". The record is from RNAcentral. Lineage: Eukaryota; Metazoa; Chordata; Mammalia; Primates; Hominidae.